Molecule: ribosomal RNA, 1550 nt
Filed under: Enterobacter asburiae
Lineage: Bacteria; Pseudomonadati; Pseudomonadota; Gammaproteobacteria; Enterobacterales; Enterobacteriaceae
Description: bacterial SSU rRNA
Rfam family: Bacterial small subunit ribosomal RNA
Source: RNAcentral
AAAUUGAAGAGUUUGAUCAUGGCUCAGAUUGAACGCUGGCGGCAGGCCUAACACAUGCAAGUCGAGCGGUAGCACAGAGAGCUUGCUCUCGGGUGACGAGCGGCGGACGGGUGAGUAAUGUCUGGGAAACUGCCUGAUGGAGGGGGAUAACUACUGGAAACGGUAGCUAAUACCGCAUAACGUCGCAAGACCAAAGAGGGGGACCUUCGGGCCUCUUGCCAUCAGAUGUGCCCAGAUGGGAUUAGCUAGUAGGUGGGGUAACGGCUCACCUAGGCGACGAUCCCUAGCUGGUCUGAGAGGAUGACCAGCCACACUGGAACUGAGACACGGUCCAGACUCCUACGGGAGGCAGCAGUGGGGAAUAUUGCACAAUGGGCGCAAGCCUGAUGCAGCCAUGCCGCGUGUAUGAAGAAGGCCUUCGGGUUGUAAAGUACUUUCAGCGGGGAGGAAGGUGUUGAGGUUAAUAACCUCAGCAAUUGACGUUACCCGCAGAAGAAGCACCGGCUAACUCCGUGCCAGCAGCCGCGGUAAUACGGAGGGUGCAAGCGUUAAUCGGAAUUACUGGGCGUAAAGCGCACGCAGGCGGUCUGUCAAGUCGGAUGUGAAAUCCCCGGGCUCAACCUGGGAACUGCAUUCGAAACUGGCAGGCUAGAGUCUUGUAGAGGGGGGUAGAAUUCCAGGUGUAGCGGUGAAAUGCGUAGAGAUCUGGAGGAAUACCGGUGGCGAAGGCGGCCCCCUGGACAAAGACUGACGCUCAGGUGCGAAAGCGUGGGGAGCAAACAGGAUUAGAUACCCUGGUAGUCCACGCCGUAAACGAUGUCGACUUGGAGGUUGUGCCCUUGAGGCGUGGCUUCCGGAGCUAACGCGUUAAGUCGACCGCCUGGGGAGUACGGCCGCAAGGUUAAAACUCAAAUGAAUUGACGGGGGCCCGCACAAGCGGUGGAGCAUGUGGUUUAAUUCGAUGCAACGCGAAGAACCUUACCUACUCUUGACAUCCAGAGAACUUUCCAGAGAUGGAUUGGUGCCUUCGGGAACUCUGAGACAGGUGCUGCAUGGCUGUCGUCAGCUCGUGUUGUGAAAUGUUGGGUUAAGUCCCGCAACGAGCGCAACCCUUAUCCUUUGUUGCCAGCGGUCCGGCCGGGAACUCAAAGGAGACUGCCAGUGAUAAACUGGAGGAAGGUGGGGAUGACGUCAAGUCAUCAUGGCCCUUACGAGUAGGGCUACACACGUGCUACAAUGGCGCAUACAAAGAGAAGCGACCUCGCGAGAGCAAGCGGACCUCAUAAAGUGCGUCGUAGUCCGGAUUGGAGUCUGCAACUCGACUCCAUGAAGUCGGAAUCGCUAGUAAUCGUAGAUCAGAAUGCUACGGUGAAUACGUUCCCGGGCCUUGUACACACCGCCCGUCACACCAUGGGAGUGGGUUGCAAAAGAAGUAGGUAGCUUAACCUUCGGGAGGGCGCUUACCACUUUGUGAUUCAUGACUGGGGUGAAGUCGUAACAAGGUAACCGUAGGGGAACCUGCGGUUGGAUCACCUCCUUACCUUAAAGAA